This 253-nucleotide ribosomal RNA is filed under the name uncultured bacterium. Its description in RNAcentral is "partial 16S ribosomal RNA". It matches the Rfam family "Bacterial small subunit ribosomal RNA", at positions 524 to 776 of the family's 1533-position model. The record is from RNAcentral.
UACGUAGGUGGCAAGCGUUGUCCGGAUUUACUGGGCGUAAAGGGCGUGCAGGCGGUCUGUUAAGUGCAGGGUGAAAGCUCCCGGCUCAACUGGGAGAGGUCCUUGCAUACUGGCGGACUUGAGGGGGGUAGAGGAAAGUGGAAUUCCCGGUGUAGUGGUGAUAUGCGUAGAUAUCGGGAGGAACACCAGUGGCGAAGGCGGCUACCUGGCCCACUCUUGACGCUGAGGCGCGAAAGCUGGGGGAGCAAACGGG